This is a long non-coding RNA of Onychostoma macrolepis, 533 nucleotides long. RefSeq lists it as uncharacterized. The record is from RefSeq and is a predicted model, not a curated record. Lineage: Eukaryota; Metazoa; Chordata; Actinopteri; Cypriniformes; Cyprinidae. The transcript has 3 exons.
GUAAUGGAUAUAUGUGUGUUGAUGUUUCUUAAAGGCUCCUUUCAUCAGUUCCUUCUUCGUGCUCCUACCUCUACAACCACGUUCCGUGACAACAGCACACUUGAAAACAUUUUUGCAAGGGUCUUUAUCUAACUGAAAAUCUGAUCACAACAUAAAUCAAAUUUAUGCUGGAAUACAGAUAUUCUUAAGGCUUCACAAACCUUUUAGUGACUGUAUGGGAAGGAAACCAAAACUGGAGAUGGGCACUAUGGUGAAUUUGAAACAAACAAAGAGCUGCUGGAGUGGAUAUGCUGAUUUGUAAUUCUUCAUGGCCCAAAUCACUAAACGCCCUCCAAAUGUCCAUUCAGCACUUCCAUGCUUCAACAGACAAUUUAUAACAGAGGUUGAACAGCGAAACGUACGAGGAGCCCUGGAGGAUUGCGUCCACCUAUGAAAACUGCAACUGGAUUUUAGAAGAUUUCAUUUGGAUUUAGACUUCAUGCUUCAGAGUCUAUUCUAGGGAGACUGGGCUGCUUUGAGUCUAAUUUCAGACC